Non-coding RNA from Xyrichtys novacula (pearly razorfish), 116 nucleotides. The record is from the annotation of a GenBank genome assembly. Lineage: Eukaryota; Metazoa; Chordata; Actinopteri; Labriformes; Labridae.
AACACAAAAAAGAGAAAACACAUCAGCAAAAAGAGAAAACACAAGGACAUUAACUGAAACCGGAAAACGUAGGGAGGUGUUUUCUCUUUUGCUGUUGUUUUUUCUCUUUUUGUGUU